AGAGUUUGAUCCUGGCUCAGAUUGAACGCUGGCGGAAUGCUUUACACAUGCAAGUCGAACGGCAGCACGGACUUCGGUCUGGUGGCGAGUGGCGAACGGGUGAGUAAUACAUCGGAACGUGCCCGGACGUGGGGGAUAACUACUCGAAAGAGUGGCUAAUACCGCAUACGAUCCAAGGAUGAAAGCGGGGGAUCGCAAGACCUCGCGCGUUUGGAGCGGCCGAUGGCAGAUUAGGUAGUUGGUGAGGUAAAGGCUUACCAAGCCUGCGAUCUGUAGCUGGUCUGAGAGGAUGAUCAGCCACACUGGGACUGAGACACGGCCCAGACUCCUACGGGAGGCAGCAGUGGGGAAUUUUGGACAAUGGGCGAAAGCCUGAUCCAGCCAUUCCGCGUGCAGGAUGAAGGCCCUCGGGUUGUAAACUGCUUUGUACGGAACGAAAAGGCUCUUGCUAAUACCAGGAGUCCAUGACGGUACCGUAAGAAUAAGCACCGGCUAACUACGUG
Molecule: ribosomal RNA, 503 nt
Filed under: uncultured bacterium
Lineage: Bacteria
Description: bacterial SSU rRNA
Rfam family: Bacterial small subunit ribosomal RNA
Source: RNAcentral